This 258-nucleotide ribosomal RNA is filed under the name uncultured Glomus. RNAcentral describes it as "partial 18S ribosomal RNA". It matches the Rfam family "Eukaryotic small subunit ribosomal RNA", at positions 624 to 886 of the family's 1831-position model. Lineage: Eukaryota; Fungi; Glomeromycota; Glomeromycetes; Glomerales; Glomeraceae. The record is from RNAcentral.
AAGCUCGUAGUUGAAUUUCGGGGUUAGUAGGUUGGUCAUGCCUCUGGUAUGUACUGGUCUCACUGAUUCCUCCUUCCUUAUGAACCGUAAUGCCAUUAAUUUGGUGUUGCGGGGAAUUUGGACUGUUACUUUGAAAAAAUUUGAGUGUUUAAAGCAAGCUAACGCUUGAAUACAUUAGCAUGGAAUAAUGAAAUAGGACGUUCGAUCUUAUUUUGUUGGUUUCUAGGAUUGACGUAAUGAUUAAUAGGGAUAGUUGGG